GUUAAGUUAGCAUAAUCAAUGCGCUAAAUUUAGAAUUUAGAAAGGUAAUGGUAAUUUACACUUAAUA
This 67-nucleotide transfer RNA is filed under the name Singhiella simplex. RNAcentral's name for it is "tRNA-Leu". Lineage: Eukaryota; Metazoa; Arthropoda; Insecta; Hemiptera; Aleyrodidae. The record is from RNAcentral.